GGUUCAGAUUUAGGAAGGACGACCCCGUCGCCUGCCUCCCUCCCUCGCCCAGAGCCGGGAGCAAUGCUGGGGCAGAAGAGAGGACUUGGGAAGGAUCCGGACCUUACUUUCCCCGCGGGUCCCGGACCCGCAGCCCCCGGGUUGUGAGGCGGAAGCCAAAGGGGCGAACCCAGCGGAGCCGGCGUGCACGGACCCUGCCCCGCGGUUUAAGAGGGGUGCCUCCGGCCCGGGACAGCGGGGCUCCCGGAGCCCGAAAGCCCCACGAGCGGCGACAGCGGGGCCCGGCGCUGACGAGCGGAGGAAGCGGGUGAAGGAAGAUUAUUUCCCCCCCCAUCUUGACCACCCCCCAGUCUUCGCCGCCAAAAACGGACUCCGCCGGCUCUCCUCGGCCCGGUACCAGUUGUUGGAUCCAAGAGAAUUCCGGAACCCAAACGGUCCAUUACCGCGGCUCUGGGGUCCGCGUGCCAGGGCUAUCGGGAGGUCGGACGGAGGGCCGCGCGCAUGCGCCCCGCGCCUGCUUUCAAACUCCAGGCUCGCUCAAAGCGCUUUAUUGGCAGUGAAACCACAAGUAACCCGGAGCCCUCGGCGCGUCCACGGCUAGAAUCAGAGCCUAAGGCGUGUGAGCUCGGCCAUCCCACGUCUGUCUUCACGCUCACCCGCAAGCCCAACACACUGGGGCUCCCAGUUAAUGAAUACUUAAGAGUAGGGCUGUCCCUACCGCUUCUCACUUCCUUGUUUUCACCUUUUCGUUAUUAUUAAGCGACCUAACACAAUAAACAUAUUACCUUGUUGGUAACCCUUUUGUAAAGUCAUUCUGAAAGUGCUGUUUGACUCCGUUGCUUGGGUAAUAAGCACGCCUGGGUGAUUCUUGCCCCCUACUGGCUGCGCAUCCUACAAGCCUCGUGCUGAAAGCAAACCAAGUAGCUGGAACAGUUGGAGGUUACAAUGUGAACUCUUCAGAGACAACGUAUUCGGGGAAAGAAAGGAAAAAGUAGGCACAGAAAGAAUAGGAAACUUUAGUGUUUGUACACAGAAAUAUGUAUUAUAUAUCUAUGUAUACAUUUAUAAAUAGUUUUAAAGUG
RNAcentral lists this long non-coding RNA (1082 nucleotides) under Pongo abelii (Sumatran orangutan). RNAcentral describes it as "lncRNA (ENSPPYG00000030072.1)". The record is from RNAcentral. Lineage: Eukaryota; Metazoa; Chordata; Mammalia; Primates; Hominidae.